Caenorhabditis elegans is the source of this 148-nucleotide non-coding RNA. Lineage: Eukaryota; Metazoa; Nematoda; Chromadorea; Rhabditida; Rhabditidae. The record is from Ensembl.
ACCACUUCCACCUCCACCGGUUCCACUGACACCACCUCGAUUCGUUGAACGAGAAUGAUGAUGAGUUGGUGGGACAAGUGUGGCUGGUGGUGUGAAUGUAAGUGACGGUGGAGCUCCACACGGUGAGCCUGGCUCCCCCGAAUCACGU